RNAcentral lists this ribosomal RNA (450 nucleotides) under uncultured bacterium. RNAcentral describes it as "partial 16S ribosomal RNA". It matches the Rfam family "Bacterial small subunit ribosomal RNA", at positions 354 to 796 of the family's 1533-position model. The record is from RNAcentral.
GUGGGGAAUUUUGGACAAUGGGCGAAAGCCUGAUCCAGCAAUGCCGCGUGUGUGAAGAAGGCCUUCGGGUUGUAAAGCACUUUUGGCAGGGAAGAAACAGUGCGUGCUAAUACCAUGCGCGAAUGACGGUACCUGCAGAAUAAGCACCGGCUAACUACGUGCCAGCAGCCGCGGUAAUACGUAGGGUGCAAGCGUUAAUCGGAAUUACUGGGCGUAAAGCGUGCGCAGGCGGCUUUGUAAGACGGAUGUGAAAGCCCCGGGCUCAACCUGGGAAGUGCAUUCGUGACUGCAAGGCUAGAGUGUGUCAGAGGGAGGUGGAAUUCCGCGUGUAGCAGUGAAAUGCGUAGAGAUGCGGAGGAACACCGAUGGCGAAGGCAGCCUCCUGGGAUAACACUGACGCUGAGGCACGAAAGCGUGGGGAUCGAACAGGAUUAGAUACCCCAGUAGUCC